This 67-nucleotide ribosomal RNA is filed under the name Paenibacillus sp. EKM202P. RNAcentral describes it as "partial 16S ribosomal RNA". It matches the Rfam family "Bacterial small subunit ribosomal RNA", at positions 1 to 66 of the family's 1533-position model. RNAcentral also lists the same sequence under 1 other name. Lineage: Bacteria; Bacillati; Bacillota; Bacilli; Caryophanales; Paenibacillaceae. The record is from RNAcentral.
UUUAAUGGAGAGUUUGAUCCUGGCUCAGGACGAACGCUGGCGGCGUGCCUAAUACAUGCAAGUCGAG